This is a long non-coding RNA of Phascolarctos cinereus (koala), 2073 nucleotides long. The record is from Ensembl. Lineage: Eukaryota; Metazoa; Chordata; Mammalia; Diprotodontia; Phascolarctidae.
CCUGAUCCAUUUUAAGGCCCUCUCUCAUUCAUUCUUUUGCCUGCACUUUUUUGCCCUUCCGGAAGCCAAGUCGGGGAUGGGGCGGUGGGGCCUGCUACGUUUAGAAGGGACUUUAGACAUAGCUGCAGUCAGCUAGGUGGCAAAGUGGAUAGAGCCCCGGGGCCUGGAGUGGAUUUCUGAUUUCAAAUUCGGCCUCAGACUCUAGCUGUGUGACCCUGAGCAAGUCACUGUUUGCCUCAGUUUCCUCAUCUGUAAAAUGAGCUGGAGAAAAUAAUGGCAAGCCACUCCAACAUCUCUGCCAAGAAAACCCCAAAUGGGUCACGUAGAGUCGGACACGACUAAACAGAAGCAGACAUGCCGUGGGCCCCGAAGCCAGAGUUUAGGUUUGGGAGGUGGGGGGUCGGGGCAGAUAAUGAGAUUUCCCCACGAGCACGACCCUGCGCCGCUCGCGUUCCAAGGGAUGGUGUAGCUAAUGAAAAUGCAAAGGGCUUUUCUAGGAGGGUCUGCAGCGCAGGGUGGCAGAACCAGCACCAGCCAGCACGAGGGGGCUCCGGAUGCCGCCUCUGCUCCCCGGGCUCAGCCACUUGGCGUCUUAGGGCCUGGUUUCCUUAUCUGACAAAGGAGGGGAUUGAACCGCGUAGAUCUGUCAGACUUUAAAGCUCCAGGUUCUGAGCGUCGUUAUUGGAGGGAUCUGUUUAGAGACCCCAAAGUAGGCGCAUUCUGAAAGAAUUGGGGACUGACGACAUGGGACUUCGGUGCAGAGCCCGGAAGCAUAGGCACACACAGGUCUCCUCUUCACCAUGCCAUUUCUUGAAAAAGAGGAAAACAGUGAACCUAUGUUGAUGAAAAAUGAAACACGCCUGCAAAUCUUAAAGAACAAGGAGCAGAGAAAGAGACUUGUUCAUGAAAUUUGUACUUUUUUAGAUAGCAGCCAGUCUGUCCAAGAAAUUGAUGCUUUAAGGACAGAAAACAGGAAAUUAAAAAAUGCGAACUCAAGGCUUCGAUAUAAGACAAAGGAUUGGGCAUUAAAGAAAGAAGAAUAUGAAAAUGAGAUUGAGAGGCUGUCUAGUGAGAUAUCAAAUUAUUUAAAUGCCACCAAUUUUUGGUAUCAAGACACAGAGCUUCUUAAUGAUGAGCAUAAUAAUAUACCAAGGGAACAGGCAAACAAUGUAAGACACACAAGUAAAAAACACUUAUCACAGGACGAAUAUGAACAAUAGAAGAGCAGCUAGCUACUAUUUUUAAAGGCCUGGACAACAGAUUGUUUUAUGUUGCUUCAAGUUUGUCUUCUCAUUGAAUUACUCAAUUGUAUGAAUGAAUUAAAGAGACAUGUUAUCUCAGUUCUUUCAAGUUAGUAUAAUUUUGGUUAAAUGUUUAUGGGGAGUAGCUCUUAAGAUACUGAUUAACAGUGUUGUGUAGUGGACUGAAAUCUGACCUUAGAGCCAGGAAGAUUUGGAUUCAAGUCCUGCCUCUGACUCAUGGUCAGUGUUCAAGGAAAUUUUUUUCUUAAAAGGCAUUUGGGGUUAAGUGACUUGCCAAGGUCAUGCAGCUAGUAAGUGUCUGAGGUCGGAUUUGAAUUCAGGUCUUUCUGACACCAGGGCCAGUGCUCUAUUCACUGUGCCACCUAGCUGCCCCUUCUAGGGGAAUGAAGUUGCAGAGAAAGUACCAACUUGCUUUGGUAGAAUGAGUUCCUUUCUUGGAAUUCCAAAAUCAUUGAGAUCACAGGUCUAUCACUAAAUAGUACCCUAAUAUGUAUAAGUUAGCAGGCCCUUCAUCUAGGGUUAACUACAAGUUUGUAUCACUUUGUAGAAAAUCUCUGGAUCAUCUGGUUAGAGCAAUAUGACCUAAAUCUUAAACAACAGUGAAAUUUUAGACAUUUUUUUUACAGUAAGAAAAUAUUCAUAAAUAUGCCUCUAUAAAAAUACAAGAUACUUGAACCAUGUAAGUGAAAAAGGGAUCAAUAUGUUUUAUUAUUUCUUGCUAUUAAAAAAUGAAUGUCAGAGGCCUUGGUACUUAGGUGAUUGAUUUAUUAGCAUUCACAUUUAGGCUCAGCAGAAUGGGUAUGAACUGCAG